UGGCCAGGUCGCAGUUGUAAAUGAGAGCUUGUACUAGCCUACCUGAUUAAAGAAAGAAUACUUCAAAAUGAGAAGAUCCUGCCAUGGAAGAGACGACUGGGUGGACAUAAAGUGGAAAGGAGGGGAAAUAACUCACACCAUGCAGCAGGACACCUUUAGCUGUGGGGUCUUUGUAAUGCAGAUGGCCAAGGAAGUUGCACAGAACUUCCCCAACAUCCCCUACCAUGGAGCAACUGCGAAAAGAAAUGGCUGAGGGUAUACUAAAAAUGUCUGAGUUCAACAAAGCCAACAACUGCUUCAUGUGUGCCACUGAUAAAGAACCUGGAUGUGGCCCAAAGACUGACUGGAUGUUGUAAUGUUUUGCAUGCCAACGGUGGUUCCAUGUGCUGUGCCUAGGAAUGAAGACAAAAGAGUUCAACAGAGUAAAGAACACAAACUGGAAGUGCUGUCUUUGUUGUUGAAAUGUAUGCUAUACCCCAUCCACACUGAAGAGGCUUUGAAAUGUACAUCAAACAGGGAUAAAGAGAAAGUUAACACUGCGAAAUGUUUCAUACUUAUUUGAAGUCUGUUGACAUGUUGGAAAAGAUUAAAGGUCUACCAUUUCUGUUUAA
Molecule: long non-coding RNA, 611 nt
Organism: Salvelinus namaycush (lake trout)
Lineage: Eukaryota; Metazoa; Chordata; Actinopteri; Salmoniformes; Salmonidae
Exons: 5
Source: RefSeq, a predicted model, not a curated record